GACGAACGCUGGCGGUGUGCUUAACACAUGCAAGUCGAACGGCAAGGCCCUGCUUUUGUGGGGUGCUGGGGUGCCGAACGGGUGAGUAUCACGAGAGUAACCUGCCCUUGACUUUGGGAUAACUUCAGGAAACUGGGGCUAAUACCGGAUAGGACCCCCUCUACCGGGUAGGGGGUGGGAACUUUUGGGCGGUGGGGGAUGAAUUGGCGGCUUAUCAGUUGGUUGGUGGGGCGUGGGCUGACCGAGCCUUGCGCGGUUCGCCGGCCGGAGAGGGUGACCGGCCACCUUGCUACUAAGAGACGCCACAGACUCCUACAGGAGGCAGAAGGGGGAAACAUUGCACAAUGGGAGCAAGCCGGAUGCAGAGACGCGGCGUGCGAGAUGACGUCCUUCGGGUGGUAAACCGCAUUCGCCUGUGACGAAGCGUGAGUGACGGUAAUCGAUGAAGAAGCACCGGCUAACUACGUG
Molecule: ribosomal RNA, 468 nt
Filed under: uncultured bacterium
Lineage: Bacteria
Description: partial 16S ribosomal RNA
Rfam family: Bacterial small subunit ribosomal RNA
Source: RNAcentral